GAUGAACGCUAGCUACAGGCUUAACACAUGCAAGUCGAGGGGUAACGAGAGGGAAGCUUGCUUUCCUUGUCGACGACCGGCGCACGGGUGAGUAACGCGUAUCCAACCUGCCCCCAACUAGGGAAUAACCCUGCGAAAGUAAGACUAAUACCCUAUAAUUUCCUCAGAUGUCAUCUGACGAGGAAUAAAGAUUUAUCGGUUGUGGAUGGGGAUGCGUCUGAUUAGCUUGUUGGCGGGGUAACGGCCCACCAAGGCAACGAUCAGUAGGGGUUCUGAGAGGAAGGUCCCCCACAGUGGAACGGAGACACGGUCCAAACUCCUACGGGAGGCAGCAGUGAGGAAUAUUGGUCAACGGGCGGAAGCCUGAACCAGCCAAGUAGCGUGCAGAAUGACGGCCCUAUGGGUUGUAAACUGCUUUUAUACAGGAAUAAAGUUAGCCACGUGUGGUUAUUUGUAGGUACUGUAUGAAUAAGGACCGGCUAAUUCCGUGCCAGCCGCCGCCGUAA
Molecule: ribosomal RNA, 506 nt
Filed under: uncultured bacterium
Lineage: Bacteria
Description: partial 16S ribosomal RNA
Rfam family: Bacterial small subunit ribosomal RNA
Source: RNAcentral